RNAcentral lists this small nuclear RNA (330 nucleotides) under Castor canadensis (American beaver). Its description in RNAcentral is "7SK RNA (ENSCCNG00000031345.1)". It matches the Rfam family "7SK RNA". From Rfam's summary of the family: 7SK was discovered as an abundant small nuclear RNA in the mid-70s but a possible function has only recently been suggested. Two independent studies have found that 7SK RNA binds the CDK9/cyclin T complex (known as elongation factor P-TEFb). The record is from Rfam by way of RNAcentral. Lineage: Eukaryota; Metazoa; Chordata; Mammalia; Rodentia; Castoridae.
GGAAGUGAGGACAAUCUGGCUGUGAUGUUUGUUGCCCCAUUGAUUGCCAGGGUUGAUUUGGCUGAUCUGGCGGGCUAGGCAAGUAUCUCCUUCUCCCACACCAUUCUGUGUGCAUCCCUCCUGAAGUUGUGUGCUUGGUUGAAGAGAACAACUAUCCCUGAUAGAGGAGGACUGUUCUUUAGUCAGGGGUAUACGAGCAGCUGUACUCCCCUGCUAGAACCUCCAAACAAGCUCUAAAGAAAAAGCUGCCACUAGCAGUGUAAAUAGUCAGAAAAUGAUGUGGGAGGCCACAUAGUAUAAAAGCAGCCUAACAAGUAUCUGGCAUGCUUG